Molecule: long non-coding RNA, 565 nt
Organism: Capsicum annuum
Lineage: Eukaryota; Viridiplantae; Streptophyta; Magnoliopsida; Solanales; Solanaceae
Exons: 4
Source: RefSeq, a predicted model, not a curated record
AGAUCAGCGAGGAUAUAUAAGUCUGGCAUCUUCCGAAAUAGUCCAAGAGGAAUCCACUAUCUAUUUUACGUCAAGCUAUAGUAAUUUCCGAUACCAGUUUUGGUUUAGUAGUUGCUUCAAUAGACCUUUCUGCGAGGCAAGAAGCCAAGAAGAGUGCAACUUCCACAAUGACCACAUGCAACUCAAGUUGAUGGGCCACUGCUAUGCCUCGCACUGCGAGUUUGCUGCCACCGAACGCUGGCGACUUCAACUGUAAGUCUCUCUUUGAUACAUACAUGGAGCUGCCGACUCUCUGCUAUUGGGAAAGAAAGUAGUGAAACAGAAGGAAGUGGGAUCUCUGCCUGCAAGGACUUUUAAUGGUCAUGCAGGCUGGUGGAAUAAACCAUCGAUAAGCAUUUGGUGUUUAAUUAUCAAGAUGUUUAAAUAGCUGUUGCUGUACAACAUUUGGCCUAUUAAUAGCUUGAUUGAUGGGAAUUGAAAGAGUCUAGAGUAAUGAGGUGCUAAGCAUAUUGCCUUUCCUGAAGGUAGCACCUUUAAGUUCACUAAGUAUACGAUUGAAAAACUC